This 800-nucleotide ribosomal RNA is filed under the name uncultured cyanobacterium. RNAcentral's name for it is "bacterial SSU rRNA". It matches the Rfam family "Bacterial small subunit ribosomal RNA", at positions 56 to 897 of the family's 1533-position model. The record is from RNAcentral. Lineage: Bacteria; Bacillati; Cyanobacteriota.
UGCAAGUCGAACGGAAUCUUUCGGGAUUUAGUGGCGGACGGGUGAGUAACGCGUGAGAAUCUGCCUUCAGGUUCGGGACAACAGCUGGAAACGGCUGCUAAUACCGGAUGUGCCGAGAGGUGAAAGCUUUAGUGCCUGGAGAUGAGCUCGCGUCUGAUUAGCUAGUAGGAGUGGUAACGGCACCCCUAGGCGACGAUCAGUAGCUGGUCUGAGAGGAUGAUCAGCCACACUGGGACUGAGACACGGCCCAGACUCCUACGGGAGGCAGCAGUGGGGAAUUUUCCGCAAUGGGCGCAAGCCUGACGGAGCAAGACCGCGUGAGGGAAGAAGGUCUGUGGAUUGUAAACCUCUUUUGACAGGGAAGAAGACAGUGACGGUACCUGUCGAAUCAGCCUCGGCUAACUCCGUGCCAGCAGCCGCGGUAAUACGGAGGAGGCAAGCGUUAUCCGGAAUUAUUGGGCGUAAAGAGUCCGUAGGUGGGUCACCCAGUCAGCUGUUAAAUAGUGAAGCUUAACUUCAUAGAGGCGGCUGAAACUGGUGGUCUAGAGUGUGGUAGGGGUAGAGGGAAUUUCCAGUGUAGCGGUGAAAUGCGUAGAUAUUGGAAAGAACACCGGUGGCGAAAGCGCUCUACUGGGCCUGCACUGACACUGAGGGACGAAAGCUAGGGGAGCGAAAGGGAUUAGAUACCCCUGUAGUCCUAGCCGUAAACGAUGGAUACUAGGCGUUGCCCGUAUCGACCCGGGCAGUGUCGUAGCCAACGCGUUAAGUAUCCCGCCUGGGGAGUACGCUCGCAAGAGUGA